AAAUACACAACUUGAUGCAUUGGCAUGCAACAUUUAGUCACAACUCAAAAAAGCUUCUCUUUUUCCUCAAGUACACAGCACCAAACUAACAAAUCGAGAUGAAGAAAUGAAAUUACAGACAUGGCCCACACUGUCACGCAUCACUUGGGGACUGCAUACAGAGACCGUGGAGGGAGGGAAGAACGCCAUUCUCUUCUUCAACCUCCUCUUCCUCUUCUCUGACUUCUGACAUCGUAGCCUCUCACAACACCCGGCCGCACACUACCCGCCAUGGACUUCUCGAGAUAUCCCCCUUUUCAUGGGUAGUUCACCAGGGAGCGGUACGUCGUCCCGGGCUUCCACUUGGCGGGGAUGGCGUGGUUGGCGACGAGCACCCUGCCGGAGUCGGAGGUGAGCCGGAGCCCGAACGGCGCAUUGAGCUUCCUGCCGUUGUUGAGGCGCCACGUGGCGCCCCAGUUGUGCGCCAUGGACGUCCACACGGUGCUGCCGGCCUCCAUGAGCUCCACGGCCUUGAGGUCGCCGUCGUCGUCCUCGAACUCGAUGAGCACGUCGAAGUAGAAGGGGUUGGCGCCCUGGUCCACCUUGAAUGCGAUGUUCACGCCGGGGUACUUGCACGGCACCCGCCGGUACAGGAUCCUCAGGACGCCGCCGGCGCGGAGCUUGUCGGCCAUGCCGGGCCUCGCCAUGGCGCCCAUGGCCGUGCCGCUCAUGUCGAAGUGGGCGACCUCGCCGGGGAACAGGUCGCCGGGGGACCGGUCGGUGAUCACGAUGGUCGCCGGCUGGCCGGAGCACGCCGCGUUGGUCGUGCAUUUAACCUGCACAUGGGCGCAUUAUUGUUUAGAGAGGAGGGACCAGGCACAGGCAGCCGACAGCGACUUUAAUUUGCAGCAGCACGCAGCCGAGGUACCUCGUAGCAGCGCCGCAGCCCUCGCCGUCCAUGUACAGCGGCGUGCUCCCGGCGGCGAUCAUCGAGUCGAACGGCUGCUUCCCGACGGCGGUCUGGUACCCGCACGCGCCGCUGCGUUCACAGUUUUAGGCCAUCGAUCCCAUGUCANNNNNNNNNNNNNNNNNNNNNNNNNNNNNNNNNNNNNNNNNNNNNNNNNNNNNNNNNNNNNNNNNNNNNNNNNNNNNNNNNNNNNNNNNNNNNNNNNNNNCUUCAGAUCCUCGCCACAGCAGAUUCUUGUCAAAGGCGAGUACUGACCGUCGCUGCCGUCGCCGUUGGGCGCGCCGUAGUAGGUGGCGCCGGCGCCGGACAGCCAGGCACCGCCGUAGACGAUCGACGGCGAGUGCUUAGCGGUGUGGUUGCUGCGGGGAGGCUUGGCCGCGGCAGGCGCCGGCUUGUAGCCGACAGGGUUUGGCUUGGGCUUGGCCGCCGGCCGGUGGCCGAUGGCCGGCUUUGGCUUUGGCUUGGGCUUGGCCUUGCUGAGCUUGCGGGUGCAGGCAAUGGGGCUCACUAGGAGCGAGAGCACGACCAGCGCGGCCAACAGCAAUGCGAGAAGCUUCGCCAUUGCUGCUACUGCUCCUAAGCUCGGCGGAGUUCGCAAUUCAGAUUUCAGAGGCUUUGUAUGAGCUCGAUUGUUCUUCGGUGAGUUCCAACAGUGGCCACGAACUGGGUAUUUAUAGGGCACUUCGGGGAGGGAUCAACGCGGAGGACUUGACAUGGGAGAGAACUCUGCCGGUCGAAUUAUUGGGGAGAACGUGACAAGUUGAUGUGUUAGCGAAAAGAAGGUCUAAAAAAACCCAGCCAUUCUUAAUCUGCAAGAACCCCUGCUAAUGGCGGUUGCCGAUUGGCGAUCGCGCGAGCGAAGACACGUAGAAAUGGGCUGUGAGUACAAUUGGAGAGCUUACAUAAAAAAGUGGUAGUAUACAUUUGAAAAACACGUGUUGAGAAAUUUAAUCCGUUUAAGUACGUACUUGUAGGCGAAUGUUGUUCCAGUAGUUAGUGAUAAAACCUGUUGUGUGCCAUUUGCGUAGCAUAUAGGAGCUGCAGAUUUGUUGUGUAGGAAAUAAACUUGGGUUGUAUCCUUAUGCAAACCAUAAGCUGACAUCUGUACUAUUACUAACUAGUCCAUCAACCCUUGCUUUCGCACGACCAAUACUUUUUAAAAGCUAUAUUGUAUUUAAAAAUUAUUUAGAAAUUAAACUCCUAGCUAAUAAUCAAAAUUGUUUACCUACUACUGUCUCAUUUUUUCAAUACUUCAACAUAAUACUCGUAUAGAUGUAUACUUAUCUUUGUCCAGUUGUGAUUGAUUUUUAAUUAGUAAUUACUCUGUACACUUUUUCGUUCACAUUCACACAUUUUUUCAUUUUGAAUCGUACCUCCAUACAUUAUGUUUAGCAUAAAAAAUAAUAUUUUUAUCACUUCCUCACAAACAUGUAUAAAUGGUCUACACAGUAACACUCAUCAUGCAUAUAUACCUUACCUUAGUAUUUCUAAAUUAACAAUAACACAAAUAGAUAAUUUAGAAUCAUAUUUUAGUUUACUUUUGGAUAUUUUUUAUAAUGCAUAUGAAGAUAAUUAGAUUAACAUUUAAGUGUUCAUUUUAGGCUACUUUUAAUAACGACAUACAUGGGUAAUUUACAUAUAAAUUUAGAAUGGUAUUUUAAGUUAUGCUUUAUAAUGAUAUGCAUGAGUAAAUUAGAUGAAGAUUAUGGUGUUACUUUAGAUUAGUUUUUUAUAAUGGCAGAGCUCGGCAAUUUAGAUAUAGGUUCCGGGUUUAUUUAAAAUAUUUUCAUAAUGAUAGUGGUGGAUAACUUUUUUAGAAAACUUACAUGAUUGAUGUUUGAUUUUUUUUAUUUUUGUUAGAAUUUAUAGGGGUUUGUUUGUUCUUUCUAGCAUGUCUCGUGAGAACUAAUAUGGAAUCUUCAAUAGAAAAAAAUGAGACCACGUAGCUCCAAAACUAUUAUCCUAAGCUAUCUCUCAUUUAUUAAAUAUUCUAACACAUUUCUUAUAUAGAUAUAUGCUUAUUAUCUUAAUCUGAUUGUGAUAGACUUAGUUAGUAAUUACUCUAUAACGUUUUCAUCCAAAUUUAUAAUCUUUAACUUUUCACUUUGCAUUGUAGGUAUGCGUUUGGAUUUUUUUUAAGUUUGAGCAAUAAUUUUAGGAUCCAUUAAAAUUAUAAAGAUAUUCUCAUCAUUUCCUCUAUAUCUUUAUAAAUUAUGACACAUAUGAUGCGUAUAUACCUUAAUUAUUAUAUCAUAUACCAAUUAUGGAAGAUAUAGAAUAUUUGGAAUCUUAUAUUGGUGUAUAUUUUUUAUUAAGGUGAUUUGGAUUCAAAUGUAGGGUUACCUUAUAUCAUUUUUAAUAAUAGCAUAUAUGGGUAAUAUAGAUGCAAAUUAAAGGGUUACUUUUAAGUUAUUUUUAAGUAUUAGUGGUGAGCAAUUUAGUUACAAAUUUCGGGAGUUAUUUUAAAUAUUAUUUAUAAUGGCAUAAGUAAUUUUGAUGAAGAUUAGGGGUUACUUUAGCUUCUUUAAUAUAAUAAUAGUAGUGGUGGGUAAUUUAGAUAUAUAUUUAGGGGUUACUUUAGGUUAUUUUCGUAAUGGCAUAGGUGGGUAAUUUUUAGAAAACAUAAUAGAUCCAAUGGCUAUGAUGAUUUGAGUCUACCAAUUGAUGGUCAGAUGUUUUGAUUUUUUGUGAAAAUUUCUUGAAUUUCUCUCUUUUUCUAGAGUGUCCACCUAGGAUUCUUGGUGGCUUCACCUGGAGGCUUCAAAAUAAGCCUCCAAGUAGUAAUGGUAAGAUUGGAGACUCCUUUUGAGCCUCCAUAUGAAGUCACCUAGGAUCCUAGGUGGACAUCCUAGAAAAAGAGAUAAAUCCUAAAAAUUCCUACAAAAAUCAGAAACAUUUGACCAUCGAUUUGGUAAACUCAAUCAUAACAGCCAGGAUCAAAUUUGCUUCUAAAUUACCCACCUCUGCCAUUUUGUAAAAUAAUGUAAAUAAUCCUUAAUGUUACAUUUAAAUUACCAUAUCUGCCAAUAUAAAAAUAUUAAUCGAAUAAUACGCUCGGUAUCCUUGAUUCCCUCAAAUAAUAUCUAAGAAGGCGAACCUGUUCCUUCAGAUGCUGCCGGGGCGGCGGCAGAUCAUUCAGCGUAUGGCACAACAUGAGUAAGGACUUGUUUAGUUGCCCAACUUUGGGGUGCCAAAAUUACUAUAGCAACACUGUAACGUUUCGUUUGUAUUUGCGAAUUAUUGUCCAAAUAUUAACUAAUUAGGCUCAAAAGAUUCGUCUCGCAAAGUACAAUAAAAUUGUACAAUUAGUUUUUGAUUUCGUCUACAUUUAGUACUUCAUACAUGUAUCGCAAGUUUGAUGUGAUGGGAAUCUUCUUUUUGCAUAGUGCUAAUGUUAGGAGUGAACUACCUAAAUUUAGGUGCGCAAUGUUCUGCAAGACCAGAGUACACAACCAAUGCGAUAGCAGAGUGCGGUGCAGUGGCAGAUUCAAGAAGCGGCAGGGGAUUCCAUAUCAUGUUAAUUAUCCCAAGGACUUUGGCGGACCCUCUGUUGGUGGACGCAUGAAAGUAAGCUUCGCAAGAAGCUAGCACAAAUAGAUACGAUAUUUGCAUGCCCGUCUCAAAUUAACUUAUUUUGCUUUAUUUCAGUGGCGGAGCUUGAACAGAAAGCUAGAGUGGGCCGGCAACACUAACUAAAUUCACAAUAUUCAUGUACAGUAGCUUAACCAAUGCGCUGUGUUCUCUUUCUAUGUCAGAAGCUAUUUGUUUUUGAUAAAGGAGCUGAUGAUGCCCGGCCAAGGUGAGUGGCCUACCAUCUUUUAGUAAUGUGUGCCUAAUCUUUACUAAGACCUUAAAAGAAUAUAUAUAUAUAUAUAUAAAUAUAUAUAUAUACACACACACAGCUAUUGGACCAGCAAUAAGGUGCACAGAUUAAUUGCAUAUCAUGAUAAUUGUUAUUUUUAAGACUUCUCAUCCGGAGAUUUACUAGAGGGUUGACAAGGAGGUUAAAGAACCUGUGUUUCCCAAGCUAAUUUCGUGUCAAUAUGCUCAAAAUUAUUUUUCAAUUUUUGCUUGAAAGGUAUAUUAAAGGGCUGAAAAGAAAAUAUUUGGCUAAAACUCAUUUAGAUGGUGCUUGUUUUACAGAUAUGGGUCAUUAAAAUAGUAUCGAGCCUCUUGGACACUUGAGAAAAAGAGAGAAAUUUCAAAAAAUUCUCUUAAAAAUCAAAACAUCUAACAAUCAAUUUGGCAUAAUCAAAUCAUCAUAAUUAUUGGCUCUAUUAUAUUUUCUAAAAAUUUAGCUACCUCUACCAUUAUGAUAAUAGCCUCAAGUAACCCCAUAAAUCCAUAUCUAAAUUACCCACAUCUAUCAUUAUACAAAAUAAAUUGAAGUAACUCAUAAUCUUCAUCUAAAUUACCCACUUACACCAUUACAAAAAAAUAAUUUGUAUAAAAGCUGUCCACCACUAAUAUUAUAAAAAAUGUUGAAAAUCUACACAGAUCUAAUAAAUUUGUAUCUAAAUGUCCACCACUAAUAUUAUAAAAAAUAAUUUAAAGUAAUCCUUCAAAUUCACAUAUAAAUUAUCCACAUGUGCUAUUAUUAAAAACAAGAUAAUGUAACCCUAAAUAUGAAUUCAAAUUACCUGUAUGUCAUUAAAAAAUAAAACAAGGUACACCAGUAUAUGAUAAGUAGUCUAUUUCUUACAUUUUUAGUAUAGAAAAGAACAAUUAAGGUAUAUACACAUGAUACAUAUCACCAUUUAUAAAUAUAUAAAGGAAGUGAUAAAAUAUAGAUUUUCAUGUUAAAAAUAUAGUUCAAACUUAGGCUCCACGAAACAAAUUCAGGCACAUAACUAAGAUGCAAAGUGAAAAAAAAAGAAAGGUUGUAAAUAGGAUGAAAAAGUUAUAGAGUAAUUAAUAAGUAAAGUCUAUCAUAAUUGGAUGAAGAUAAUAAGUACAUAUCCAUAUAAGUAUUGUGUUGGAAUAUUUAACAAAUGAUAGCUCAAGCUAAUGGUUUGAUUGUUAGCUAUGUGCACUCAUUCUUUUCAAUUGGAGACUCCAUAUUAGUUCUCACGAUACGUGCUAGGAAAAAAGAUAGAUCUUAAAAAUUCUCACAAAAAUCAGAAAUAUCAUGACAUCAACCACGUAGACUCUAAUUAUCAUAUCCAUUUGGUGUAUUUUUUUUAAAAAAAUACACACCACUAUUAUUAUGAAAAUAUUCUAAAGUAAACUCCUAAACAUAUAUCUAAAUUACCCACCUAUAUCAUUAUAAACAUUAAUCUAAAGCAACCCCAUAAUCUUCAUCUAAAUUACCCAUACAUGUCAUUAUAGAAAAUAACUUAAAAUACAUCCUAGAUUUAUUUUAAGUCUCCUAUAUGUCGUUAUGAAAAAUAACAUGAAGUAAACAAUUAAAAAUUAAUCUAAUUAUCUAAAUGUUCAUUAUACAAAAAUGUCCAAACGUAAAUCGACUGAUGAUUCUAAAUUACCUAAUUUUAUCGUUGUUAAUAUAGAAUAUACUAAGUUAAGUUAUAUAUGCACGAUGGGAGGAAGCGGUGCAAAAUACUUAUUUUCAUUUAAACGCAACAAACGGACGUGCGAUGCAAAGUGAAAAAAAGUAUGGAUCUGGAUGAAAAAGUGUAUGCAAUAAUUACUAAUAAAAAAUCAAUCACAAUUGGGCAAACAUACGUACUCAUUUAUACGAAUAUUGCGUUCGAAUAUUAAAUAAAUGAGAGAGAUGUUGGUAAGAAUUCUUACUAUUAGCUAGGGUGUCUAAUUUUUAAAUAAAUUUCUAAUACAGUACCUCUUAAAAUCAUUAGCCCGUGCGUGAGCACGGGUUGAUGGGCUUGUGUUUGUGAAAGGUGGUUAGCAGGAUUUCAGACCAUGCAUGGGGGUGCACAGAAAGGUUGUUCCCAAAAUAAUUUUGCCCCUUAAUUAGUAAAAUAUGUGUUCAUUUUUGUCUAAGUUUCCCUCAUUCAUGUAUAAUAAGUGAAAUAAACAUACAUUUCACCAAAAAGAAUAUAAUCAAACACAACACUUAGCAUCUUUUUUUCACAAACUGGUGGAAGCCACUCUUUUCUCCAGUAUCUGGUGGUUUACCAUAGCCUUUUUUGCCAGGUACUAGGCUGUUCACUUAAGCCAAGCCAUGCAACCUUCACCUAUUCUAAAAGGGGUAAUAAUUCGAACUUGUCCUAAAUGUUUACAAAAGAACAAAAAACCAAACUUAAGUUAAAUUGCUCCGUCGAUCGAUAUGUUGAAUGCUGGUGUUUCACAUGCAUGGAACUGUACAAAACUCCUCAUUUACGGAACAGAAGGUGUAGACGAUCCCCAAGCUACAGAGUAGAUAAAUUUUGUAUACUCUUUUGUUUAAACUAAUCAGCUAAUCCUAAAUGUUAUAUAUUCAAAAAUAGAGGGAGUAUUUGUUUAUGAAGAUUGCUACUUCCUUCGUUCCAAAUUGUAAGUUAUUUUAACUUUUCUAGAUUCGUAGUUUUUGCUAUAUAUAUAGAUAUAUAUGCAAUAUGUUCGUAAAAAAAAUUAUGUAUCUAGGAAAACCACGACAAUUUAAAAUUUUAAAACGAAGGAAGUAAUAUGGAAGCAAUGGCCGCAUAUCAAACCUCGAAUUCCUUGCUACCAACGUAGCAAUGACAUACAACUUUGAUUUCUCGCUACCAUCAUAUAAAGCAGAGACAGAUCGAACGGGAAAAUUUCAAUCAAAAUAAAUUAAGAAACGAUCAAACUGUAGUUUACACGUGAUUUGAGCAGCGAUUGGUGAGGAGAUGAUGUCAUGAUUGAUUGCUGCUAAUGACCACCGACAUGAAGGCCAACCCAUGGAUAAUGGAGGCGAUCACGUUCACCAACCGACGAUCGGGAUAAAAGAAUUGCAGCCCCACGAGGUCACCAGUUAGUUGGGAUAUAGCAUGGAUUGAUGAAGAAUAAGAAGAAUCGCUGGCCAUCUCCAUUUGAUCCAUUGUAUCAUUCGUUUCCCAGACGCAUAUGGUUGGCUGGCUAGUACAUCAUUACUCUCGCUCUUCGUCUCUGUAAUCAGUUCUCGCUUGGUGCUGAUCAUGCAUCCGGGCUAGCGUGACUUACCUGUCAUGCACGAGCGAUCGAUGCGACCCCAAGCAUUCUCUCUGCUUAUGCCAGCAAGGAGAAUAGUGUCUGAUUGCAGCAAAAGCUCUGCUGCGUUCGCGGCUUUGCAUUCUCUGCUGACACUCUGUUCAUCCUUUGGGUCAAUGCCAUGUGAGUGGUCGAUGCGACGAACCCCCUUUAUCAAGACAAACGGAAUGCAAAGAGCAUAUAUAAUCGUAUCAUGCUUUUCAAUUACAGAGAGAGAGAGAGAGAGAGAGAGAGAGAGAGAGAGAGAAUUUUGAGCUGUUCAGUCGUUUAGACAGGAGUGCAUGUCGAUCUGUAGUAUAUGCGUGCUGUAGAGAAUAGAGAGAUUUAUAGUUCGCGCGCAGACGUUUUGGGGAAGGAAUUAGUUAGGGUGGUGUCAUGAUUAUUGUUGCUAAUGAACACCAGCAUCAACGGGAUCGAGGCCAAACCUUGGAUAAUCUGAUGGUGAAUCAGAGAGUUCGUUAGGAUACCACGAAUCGAUGACGAAUCACUGGCCAUCAACUUAGGGCCAGUUUGUUUUAGCUAGAGCAUGUUUUUUUUAGAUUAAGGAAUAAAAUUCCGGCCUUAACAUUCACAAGUGAAUGUCUACAGCUUAGACCACCCUAAAACAACACGCGCAAAAUGCCACUUAGAUCAACCACACAGAUCACCAAGUAGCACAAAGGAAACAACUAACGCAGGAUAAAAGGCUAAGCUUCAAUCCUAUUUCUGAACUUCCACCCAAUUUAGCUAGAGCAUGUGGAUUGUAAGAAGCAGAUUGUACAAAAGAAGGUACAAAAACUUCAGGCUGGAUUGUUAGAUUGUAUCGGUCUGGGAUUUUUACAAUCCGAUUGCAAAAGGCAAUUUGUUUGUUUUGGCUAGAGCUUAUAAAAGCUAAAAUUAAGCCAGAAGCUCUUCCUGAAAAAAAACGGGGCCUUAAUCAUAAAUCACUUUUCUCAAACGCAUGCAUAGUUGCCAGCAGGGUGAAUGCUUGUAGCUUGCUGUCUUUGAGACUUUCUUAUAUGCUCUGUUGGUGUUAAUUUGUAUAUGUAUUAUUGGGAGCUGAAUAAUUUGGUGCUCUAUGUAGGGCACAUGUGAUCGUCGACGACGCGAUGAAUCUCUUUAUGCAGGCAACUUGAGAUGCAAACGGUAUAAUCAUACAUCACGUCAUGCUUUAUAGUUCAGCCCUGCAUUGCAUCAAACGUCUACUUUUAAUCAGUGGAUGGGAGCGCCAAGCAACUAGUCAUGAACUUCUUUGAUUUUAAGGAAUCGAUAAAGUAUAUUGGAAUUAUUCAUACCAUUUCGUUUUUUUUAGUGGUCGAAAUGAUCCCACAAGCACAUGCAUGAGGCCAUGAGUAGACGAGUGGGCGUGCCCCGGUAUCUGUCUUUGGAUCAGAUUUGCCGGUCGAAUAAUGCAAAUAAACGAUUGGCAUUGUGCUUUUGCGCUGUUUUAUAAUCUAGUAAAUUGAAUUUGAAUCAGCUACUAUUAGUCGUAUUUGAUUUUUAUUAUUACGUACUCUCACACAAUGCUAACUUUAAAAAAUUACGCAUAUGAGGUACACAGUUGCAUUUGCCUAGGCCUUACAAGGAUCUCAUCGGCGGCGGAAUGGAGCAAAGUGUUGGUAUAUAUUGAUAAAGUUAAAAAUCUCACUAGUUUCGCAGUUUAGGGUAAACUAGCCUGGGCUAAUAUUUUUAAAAGCUAUUGUAUUUGAAAAUUAUUUAGAAAUUAGACUCCUACCUAAUAAUUAAAAUUGUUUAUCUAACCCUCCUCUCAUUUUUUAAUACUUCAACAUAAUACUCAUAUAGAUGUGUAUUUAUCUUUGUCCAGUUGUGAUUGAUUUUAAUUAGCAAUUACUCUAUACGCCACAUUCACAUUUUUUUCAUUUUGUAUCGCACCUCCAUACAUUAUGUUUAGCAUAAAAAUCAAUUAUUUUUCUCACUUCCUCACAUACAUGUAUAAAUGAUCUACAUGGUGACACCCAUCUUACUUAUAUACCUUAACUUAGUAUUUCUAUAUUAACAAUGACAUAAAUAGGCAAUUUAGGAUCAUAUUAGUUUUCUUUUAGAUAUUUUUGUACGAUGAACAUGAAGAUAAUUAGAUAAAAUUUGGUGUUUACUUUAGGUUAUUUUCAAUAAUGACAUACGUGGGUAACUUAGAUACAAAUUUAGAAUAGCAUUUUAAGUUAUGCUUUAUAAUAAUAUGCAUGAGUAAAUUGGAUGAAGAUUUUUUUUUAUAAUGGUAGAGCUCGAUAAUUUAGAUAUAGGUUUAGGGGUUUACUAUAGAAUAUUUUCAUAAUAGUAGUGGUGGGUAAUUUUCAAAAAAAAAUAGACCAAUGACCAUGAUUAUUAGAAUUUACAAGAUUGAUGUUUAAUGUUGUUUUUUUUGAGAAUUUAGGAUUUGUUUCUAGCAUGUCUCAUGAGAACUAAUCCGGAGUCUACAAUGAAAAAACUGAGACCACAUUGCUACAAAACGAUUACUUGAGAGGUAGUACCUUGAGCUACCUCUCAUUUGUUAAAUUUAGAACACAAUACUUAUAUAGAUAUAUAUUUAUUAUCUUCAUCCAAUGGUGAUAGAUUUUAGUUAGUAAUUACUCUAUAAAUUUUCAUCCACAUUUAAAAUCUUAGCUUUACACUUUGCAUCUCAGGUAUGCGCCUGAAAUUAUUUAAUGGACCAUAAGUUUGAGCUAUAAUUUGAAUAUAUAAAUUUAUGUUACCAUCACUUCCUCUAUAUCUUUAUAAAUGGUGACACAUAUCAUGCGUAUAAAUCUUAAUUAUUAUAUCAUAUAUCAAUAGUGUAAGAAAUAAACAAUCUAGUAUUAUAUAUUGGUGCAUAUUGGGGUAUAUUAUUAAUAAAGGUGAUUUGGAUUCAAAUUUAGAGUUAUCUCAAGUUAUUUUUAAUAAGGACAUAUGCUAUAGAUGCAAAUUUAAAGGGUUGCUUUAAGUUAUUUUUUAAGUAUUAGUGGUUGGCAAUUUAGUUGCAAAUUAAGGGGUUAUUUUAAAUUAUUUUCAUAAUGGUAAGUGUGUAAUUUAGAUGUAUAUUAGGGUUUACUUUAGUUUAUUUUAUAUAAUGGAAGAGGUGGAUAAUUUAGAUAUAGAUUUAAGGGUUACUUUAGGCUAUUUUCAUAAUAUCAUAUGUGGGUAUUUUUUAAAAAAUAUAAUAGAUCCAAUGGCUAUGAUAAUUUGAGUCUACCGAUUGAUGGCCAGAUGUUUUUUUUUGUGAGAAUUUCUAGUAUUUCUCUCUUUUUCUAGAGUGUCCACCUAGGAUCCUAGGUGGCUUCACUGAGGCUUCAAAAAGAGCUUCCAAUUAGUAAUAGUAAGAUGGCAUCAUAGCGUGGGUAUGUGACACAACAAAAUGUCAUAGGAAUAAUUAACAAAGAUGGAAGAUUUAUUCUAUAUAACUUAUAUCUUUGUGCAUGAUAAUUAAGAGAUGACAUGUUUCUUACGUAGAACUUACCUACUCGGGUUUAAAUCCUCGAUUCAUUACUGGUAUUCACAUAUUUCUGAAUUUAUUCCAAGAAUUAACUGCCCUAUGCUUUCAUCGGUAGGCGAUAUGCUCGUCGUGCAUGUAUUUAUAGAUUGUGAGUGUACUUUCAUGUUCAUGUCUGUGUGUUUGUAUUUAUAGGCUGAAUAUUUCAUAAAAGUGAGCGUACGUUCGUAUUCAUAAAUGUCUAUGUUGGUAUGAUUCGUAAAGAAAAUAUUAGAGACCAUAUUAUUAAAAAGAAUUAAGAGGUGACACUGACACAUGGAGACCGAGACGCAUGAAAUUUUCUGGGCCAAGAGGGCCCGCGCGCGUAUGAUACUCUCGUGGAGAAAAGAAAUGCAUGCUGCGUCUAUUCCCUCGUGGGCUGAAUGAGAAAAGGGCCGGCAAUCUACAUGAUAGGCCGAACAUGUUAGACCAUGGAACAGGCCCAUCAGGCCUCUCUUCUGAGAUAUAUCUCUCCGCCGCAGCAGCCUCGCUAACGGGCGCACCUAGGGUUUUCGGUUCCGACCUCGCGCCGCCGCCAGGACACUCGGACCGACGGAGGAGGAAGCUACAGCUCGGCAGCCAUGGUCAGCGACCCGCUCCUCUCCUCCCUCCACCUUGUAUUUUCUAUCUAAGGAUCGAAUUAGAUUCUUCCUGUUCUUUCUGCGCCUAUCGUACUUGCCCUUGGAUGCUUGCGUUGCGGUGGUCGCGUUUCCUCCUGUUCGUGGUUUGAUUCCGGUGCCAGCCCCAGAUGUUGGGCAGUUUAGUGAGGGCGAUUCGUUUCACCCGCUGGUCAACCGGUGGGUUGCGUGUUGUAUGUACCUUCUGAGUGUGUUGGAGUUGCUAAGAGAUGCGAGGUCUGGUUGUUUGAAAAUGUGUAUUCCGUCUGUUUUAUUGUGCAAUUUUCGACUAAAAAUUAUUAUGGUGGACGAGGCUAGUCAAUUGUCUCCAUCCAGUUCGUUUGUUACAGCGAUAAAAUAAUCAUGUUAGCUGAUGGUUGCACAGGCAUAAGUAGAGGCCUUUGGUCAAGGGGACUGGUUAUAGCCAUUUUUGUAAAAGAGGGCUUUCGUUCUAGAUUACUUCAAGUGAAGCUUGAAUCAACUGUUGUGCAUCGUAUUCUGUCUUAGUGAAAUUAGUGGCACCAUGUGUUUACAAAUGACUACUUGUAAUGCAAUUGUAGUAAACUCCUGAUUAUUUUGCAAGUUAGAAACUUAGAAUUGCCACCAAACUAUUAUGUGACAUGUUGCUAGUCAAUCAUUUGUAUAUCUCAAUUAUGCAACGGGAACAAAACGCCACCAUGUUUCAGUUUAUAUGGAUAUAGGCAAGGAAUGACCCAAGCAUAACUAUACAACUGAGUAUGUAACUAUGUAUUGUUUAUGAGUUCGUGUGUCUGCAUUAUGUUUUCAUAGAUUAUCUGUGAGAUCCAUAGUUUAAUCUUUGACCUUGUGUGAGCCUGUGAAUGAGUCUUCAUACCAUCUGUUAUCCAUAUUGUUUGAGAUCCUCUUACACGUGUACUAAAUCUCAUCUUUUGGAACUGAAGAUCCAUUUUUGCCCUAUUAACAAAUGUCAUGUGUAUUGAUUCAAGCAUCGGACUAGCUUGUAUGGUACUCCCAUCUGACAUACUUUUGCAAGAUCUCAUCCUUCUACAAGCUAAUUUAAUUAUGGGACUGCUGUUUUUACAGAUACAUUUUGGGAUGGUUUUGAGUAGGAACUGGCAUCCAUGAUCUAUUCCAAUAUUAGUUCACCAUGUCCAUGUUUUUUCUGGAACCUUUCUUAGUUUAUUUAUAGUCCUUUUGGUAUUUUUGUGCUGGAAACUUCAACGCUUAUUGUUUUAUGUUCAUUUGUUAAGCUGCUUUUCCUGUGCAGCUUUUGGUGUCUUUUGUUUCUGUUAGAAUAUGCGUCAGUCUUUUUGCGAAACUCAUGCACCAAUAAUUCUUCUUUUGUUUUGAAUCCUGUGAUGCAUAACUCCAGAUUAGGUAUUGAUAUGAAUUGUUACAAUCCGAGCUACUGUUAAGUUCGUUCAUUCUUUAGGUUAUUUAGUAUAAGUAUCUUGGACUCAUUAUGUUGAAUUUAUUCUGUAGGUGAACGUUCCGAAAACCAAGAAGACCUACUGCAAGAACAAGGAAUGCAGGAAGCACACCCUGCACAAGGUUACCCAGUACAAGAAAGGAAAGGAUAGCCUUUCAGCUCAAGGGAAGCGUCGUUAUGACCGCAAACAGUCAGGAUAUGGUGGUCAGACAAAGCCUGUUUUCCACAAGAAGGUUUCAUACAAAUCCCAGCCCUUUGCAAUUGCUCAUUAUGAUUGAAUGCUGCUUCGAAAAUCUUAAUGUUGCUCUAAUGAGGUUUGUUUACUUGAUGUAACUAAUAUGCAUUGGUGCAUUUCAGGCCAAGACAACAAAGAAGAUUGUGCUGAAGCUGCAGUGCCAGAGCUGCAAGCACUACUCGCAGCACCCGAUCAAGGUAUUUUUGCCUCCGCUUUAUUGUCACUUCUUCGUAUUGCUUCUGUAUCAGUGUUUCAGUUUUCUGACACCGAAAUUGCAACUUCAGAGGUGCAAGCACUUCGAGAUCGGUGGCGACAAGAAGGGCAAGGGAACCUCUCUCUUCUAAGCUGAUGAUAAACUUGUUCUUAGCCCCAGGUCAUCUGCCAGAAGUUACCAUUUGGAAUGUUCUAUGUUAUCCUUAUAUAGGGAGAUACAUCAGAUGGGAACCCACUGGAGUGAUACAAGAUAUAUCUUGUGCUUUGUGUCUGAAUCAGCUGUUUUGUCAGAUAAAUUUGGUACAAUAUAGUUUGUACGAGACCAAAUGAUGAAUAUGCUAUUAUGUUCGAGCUCCGGAUCUUUUUUGCCGCAAGUACUCCAGCCAGUUAAGUUACUCCUUCCGUUUUAGAUUUCAAAUUGUAGGUCGUUUUGGCUUUUCUAAGAUCAUAGAUGUUUGUAUGCAUCUAGACAUGCACUAUAAUGCACCUAGAAGCCAAAAUGACCUACUAUUUGGUUGGGACGGAGGGAGUAUCUUGCUGUGUUCAAGCUGAUCAAUGGUUAUGGAUUGUAUAGUGGCAAAGGAAUUGAUUUCCAUCCAAAGUGCCCUUUUGAGAACGCUGCUGUGAUGGGUAUUUGUCCAUGUUGCUGGCUUGCUGGUUAUGAAGCGGCAAUGUUAUUUUAGUUUAGUGAUUAAUAGUUCGGGCAAAGUCGGGCCUAGAAAUGCGAUAAUCAUGUUUGUGAGUUAAUUUUCCAUAGUGGGCCUGCCUCUAUUUGCCAACAGCCAGAUACCGCUAUUGACACUAUAUUGGGCCGGGCCUUGGUGGUGUGUAAUUAAUUGUUGGAUAAAGUUCUAUUUACCACGGACUAUGGGCUGAGCCUGUGUUUCAGCUGGGACUUGAAAACCGUCCUUUUUGGCUCCUCGUACUCACGAAACCGAACAUGUGACGUCCCCAACCCGAUUCCACACUGGUUUUGCCGAGCUGGCGCCACGUUGCCUUUCCAAUGUGUCACGGGCCCACUUGUCGGUGUCGUCGGGUGCACGGGGGAAUAAAAAAGAGGCCGGCACCUGUGGACUGUGGCCGAGCGAGCCCUCAGAUGGAGCAGCCGCGACCUCCUCCCUCUCUGCACCGCUCGCCCGUGGGCCCCGCCUCGACGGAGCGCCGGCGAGAUCGGCACCAGGUGCCCUGAUGUUGCAUUGCUGCCUCCUUCCAAAUCGGAGCUGCCGUUGCUCGCCAUCGCCGUGGAAGCGGCGGAUGGACCUCCGGGAGAGGCCACCGUCCGCCACGCCCACGACCCCGCUGCUCCGGUUGAACUCCGCCACGCCGAGGAUUUCCUCCGGUGGCGCUCCGCCGAGUCCCUGCCCCGGGAAGGGUGGCGGUCGGAAGCGAGGCAGCUCGUGGUCGACGCCAGACGCGGCCUCGGCGAGGCCAAGGACGCGGUGAGGCUGAUGCGCAACGCCGUGCUGUCUUAAGGAUGAUUCUGAAACGCGUGUAACUGCAGAUUGCCUCUGUUGGCUUCCUAUUUGUGCUGUGCCGUGCGCUCCCAGCUUACCCAAACUUUCCUAGCUUGUUGCUGCUGGAGAAUUUCAGAUUGGAUUCACGCGAUUCAUUGAUCAGCCACGGUGAAAAUGGAGUGAUUAGCAUUUGUCAGUAAGCUUUUUGAGAUGAGAUGUUUCUCCUCUCAGUUAGCUAAGUUGUGCCUGUUAAAUUUAUAGGAUCUCUAGGUGUACUUCUAGCGGGUUAACAACUUAUUUUUUAGAUAAAAACAAAACCUUAGAUCUAAACAGGAACAACCGAGAGUAAUCGAGAGAGAAAGAGUAGAGACAGUAGGGGCACCACCAUCAGGCUUGAAGGAUGAGCUCACUAUGGCGGUGACGGCGAGGGCGGAGAUGGCGGCGGUGACGGCGAGGGCGGAGAUGGCGGCGGUGAGGUGGCAGCGGUGCUUCCCGCGGCUUCAGCGCUAGGGUUAGACCGGGUUCUAGGGUUUGUCGCUAGGUCUGGUGGGCGCAGUGAACCUUGGUGUGUGUGCCCUCGGCCCCCAUCUCCUCUUUUUAUAGCGCUGCGCGAUGGGGCCUGCCAACCAUGUACGGUUGGGCGCCCCCGAUUAGAGCGUGAUCAAGGACUCCGACUCGAUCGUUGGACCGAGUCGAAUGAAAUCAAACUAACAUUCUCCCCCUUAUCUCAUCUCAUACUUAAAUUUAGUCUCAAACUUAGAAUACUUAACUUAACACCCGUUUCAUUACAGACCAGUCUAUAGAGCAUGCCUCGUAAUAAUAGUCGGUUAUGUACUAUCAAAUUUAACAGCUACAAUACACCUUUCUAUUUUGAAACAGAUUCUUAUUCUGGGCCCUUAGUAUCCAAGGAUCAUAGGCUUUCCUGUAAACCCAUGCUGGCUAAGUGUUCUCUGAACACAUUGGGCGGUAAGCCUUUCGUGAGCGAAUUCGCGAGCAUUUUCUUUGUUCUUAUAUGCUCUAGACUAAUGGUAUGAUUCGGAUUUUCUCUUACAACAUAAAACUUGAUGUCAAUGUGUUUGGUAGCACCACUUGACUUAUUGUUGUGAGCAUAAAACACUACUGGCUCAUUGUCGCAGUACAUCUUGAGUGGCCUUUGAAUGUUGUCUUCCACUUUCAACCCGACCGUGGCCUCAUAACAUGCUACAAACUCGGCAUACAUCGUGAACGAUGCUAUGACAGUUUGCUUGGAGCUUUUCCACGAUAUGGCUCCACUUGCGAGAGUGAAUACAUCAUCUUACGUGGACUUUCUAUCGUCUACAUCUCCCGCAAAAUCUGAAUCUGAGUACCCUUCUAUUUCAAGGGAAUCAGUUCUUUUGUAUGUUAACAUGAGACCUUUCGUGUCUUGCGUAUAGCGCAAUACCUUCUUUACCAUUCUCCAGUGAUAUAUUUCUGGAUUAUCCUGAUAUCUGCCAAGUAUCCUGAUUACAAAAGCUAAGUCAGGGCGUGUACAUACUUGAGCAUACAUUAAGCUUCCGACAGUUGAAGCAUAUAGAACCGCUUUCAUUUGAUCGAUCUCAUAUGCAUACUAUACUUUUUUAAAUCUUUUCUAAGUAUGCCUUUUGUGAUAAUCCUAAAACCCCUUUUCUUCUACCUCAGUGAAUUUCAAUUCCUUAAACGAAUGAAGCUUCACCGAGAUCUUUCAUAUCAAAGUUAUCUCCAAUAGCAAACUAACAUCACUACUGGUGAGUAAGAUAUCAUCUACAUACAGGAUAAGGAAAAUGAAUUUUCCACUCUUGAACUUUGCAUAAACGUAAUUGUCCUCCUUAUUCUCACUAUACCCAAUUUUUCUUAUUGUUUCAUCGAACUUCAAAUACCACUGUCUGGAGGCUUGUUUUAAUCCAUAAAUGGAUUUUCUUUAGGCGGCAUCCCAUACAUUCUUUUCCUUCCACGACAAAACCUUUGGAUGGUGCUAUGUAAACAUUUUCAUCUAAGUCCCUGUUGAGAAAUGCCGUCUUUACAUUGUGAUGUAAUUCUAAGCCAUAGUGCGCCACUAAAACUAUUAUGAUUCUAAAGGAAUCCUUACAUGAGAUUGGAGAAAAUAUCUCAUUAUAAUGUAUUUCUUCUCUUUGCGUGAACCCUUUUGCCACAAGUCAUGCUUUAUAUCUUUCAACAUUCCCUCUGGAGUCACAUUUUGUUUUGUAGAUCCAUUUACAACCUACUGUCUUGGCUCCUUUAGGAAUUUCUUCUAAACCCCAGACUUUAUUGCUACUCAUAGAUCUCAUUUCAUCUUCCAUAGAUAGCCAUUUCGAUUUUUGAUUAGCGCUUCUCAUGGCUUCUUCAAAUGAGGUGGGAUCUCCCUCCAUUUGAAUUUAUUCACUGACAUAGACUUCGUAGUCAUCAGGAAUAGAUGGUUUUCUAACUCUUUGAGACCUUCUGGGGGCCUCAACAUUUGGUGCACCUUCUAUAUGGGGCUGUUGCAGCUCUUCCUCAUGUGUGACAACACGUUCUAUAGGAUCUUGAAGGACAGGUUCCUCAUCUUCAUUUGUUGUUGCCACGGAAGAACUAACAACAGGUGUUGUUACCACAGUGUCCUGCACUCUUGAUGCAGCAGCAACAGGUAUCGAGAAAAAUGGUUCCUAAAUCAUCGGAGUGGGUACGUAUAUCUGUUUCUCCUCAAGGCUAAUUUCUCGGGUACCCUGCUCCUCCCGAUCAUCUUAUCCUCCAAAAAGGCAGCGUGUCUCAUUUCUACAAACCUAGUAUGUCUGUCAGGAUAGUAGAAACGAUAACCUUUUGACUUAUCCGGAUAGCCAAUGAAAUGGCAACUAACUGUCUUAGGAUCUAGUUUCGCAAUAUUUGGGUUAAAUACUUUGGCCUCAGUCGGAUAGCCCCACACACGCAAAUAAUUUAGUGAGGGCUUUCGUCCAGUCCAUAAUUCAUAUGGUGUUUUAGACACCGACUUACUGAGACUCAAUUAAGAAUGUGAAUGGUGGUUUUGAAUAACUCCAUCCACAAAUUAAUCGGUAGAGCGGAGUAACUUAUCAUACUUCUCACCAUAUCCAUUAAGGUAUGGUUGCGUCUUUCAGAACUCCAUUUUGCUAAGACUCGCCUGGUAUGGAGUACUAGGCAACUAUGCCAUUUUCAUGUAGAAAACUUGCAAAAGGGUCAGGAACUUGGCCAUAUGGGUUAUGUCGACCGUAGUACUCCCCCCACGGUCGGAUCUUACUAUCUUAAUUUUUAAAUUAUGAUGAUUUUCUACUUCAGCCUUAAAUAUGUUAAAUUUAUCCAACGCUUCUGAUCAUUCCUUAAUUGGAUAAAUAUAGCAAUAACGUAAAUAAUCAUCUGUGAAUAUUAUAAAUGAAUCAUAACCAUCCACAAAUGUCACAGGAAAUGGACCAUAGAUGUCUAUGUGAAUUAUUUCUAAAAUUUUUAUGCUUCGUUUGGUGUCUUUCUUAAUUUUCUUAACAUGCUUUCCCUUAAUGCAAUCGAUGUAUUGCUCUGAAUCUAAAAAUUCUAAGGGUGGAAGAAUUGAUUUCUUAAUUAACUGUUCAAUCACUACUAGAAAAAGGACCUCUAAUAGAGAUCCCAGACCCCCCCUCUAGUACCGGUUGAAAUAACCGGUACUAGAGGGUGUUAAAAAAUAAAAAAAAUCAAAAUCCCCCCACCGACCUCCUGGCUCCCCCGCUGGCGGUGGCCCCCACCCCCCACUGCCUCCUUUCCUCCUCUCAGCCCCCUCCACCUCCACUCGCCCCCGCCACCAUCCCGCCGCCGCCUCCUCCUCCUCCGUCCCAAACCACGCCGGCCCCCUCCUCCUCUGCCCCAACCCACGUCGGCCCCCUCCACACCCACCUCCUCCUCCUACUCCCGGCCCCCUCCGCCUCCACUCGCCCCCGCCACCGCAUCCCGCAGAGAGAAGGGGGGCACGUCGCGUGCCACCAAGCCGCCGCCGCCGUUGCGCCUCACCCCGCCGGCGCUCCUCGCCCCAGGCACGACGUGAGGGGCGACCGGAAGGGGGAGGUGUGGGGAGGCCGAGGGAGGCGUGCGAGAGGAAGAGGGAGGGAGGUGUAAUACCUGCCAUUUUUAGUCAUCAAAGUAGCUCUGAAAAAAUAGAAGCAAUUCAGGAAGAAAAGGAGGAGAAAUUGGCUAAAAAUCAAAUUCGGGUCAAAUUUGGCCGAAAUUUGAAUUUUGAAUUCGAAAUUCAGAAAAAUUUGGCAAAAAUAUGGAAUGGAAGUAUAAGAGUGAUUAGAACUUAAAGAUCAAGAUUUGGGACAAGAUUUGGUCCUAAAUACCUCAAGAAAAUCAAAGAAAGAAAUUGAAAACCAAAGUUACUGUUCCCCAUCCGACAACAGCAAUUUCAGAAAAACAGCACAGAGUUCAUUUUUUGAAAUUAAUUUCUGUUGAAUUUUUCAAAUAAGUGGACCAAGACAACUACACAGUGAUGAAUUAUGGACUUUGGACAAAUAGAUUUGAGUGUUGUUGAUCAGGAACAGUAAGGGGAACAAAUUCAAAUCAAAGCUCAAAGUCAGCACCUUGUCACGGUAGACUGCACUACUGAAUUUGACUAAGUCUGAAAACAGCAAUAUGUGGCCAAGUUUGGAGCUGAUUUCAGAGAAAUGUAGAUCAAAAGGUGUAAGUGUUUAUGGGCAAAAUGAAAUCCUUGAAGGUUGUAGAACACAAAUGGGAAGAAGUUGGACUACAAGGAAAGGAUUUGGAUCACUGAAAUCAUUUACAAAGUGAGGUAAAUGACCCUGUCAUGUAACUGACGAACUGAACUUUGAGUUCAGAGAAAUUCAGUUAAAGAAGAAAGGAAAAUUCAAAAUUUCACUGUGCUAGGAUGUUUAUCUCGGGUCAGAGCAAAAAUAAAACUUGGAGAGUUCAAGUUUAUCUACAACAUUGCUUAAAGGACCGUGGAGCCAUCGGAUUGAAAAUCGACCGUGAAAAGGCUCUGAAGUUUCUGAUGAAAGAAGAAAGGGAGGACGAGUGAUAGAGUCGAGCUUGACGUGUCGCCGCCAGCGCUCUCGGUCGCCCGCCAGCGCGGCAGCUACGCCACCUCCUUGCCAUGCGAGUCCAUAGGUAGGCCACGGUGUCGUUCAUGUGCCGGUAAAACCUUUGUAUAUCUACCGCUCCCGCGCCGCCCGUUUACCGCCAUUCUUUUUACCGCUGCCGCCCUUCUGUCCAAGCCACCGCCGCCGGCAAAAUUCCUCUGCCACGCCUCACCUCCCGUCAAUUCCUCUCACCCACCCCUCCACAGAUACCCCAGCUACACCCCAGUCGACUUGUUGCCCAACAUCCUUGCCGGAGUACCCGUGCUCGCCGUCAUUCCCGUCCGCCAUCGCCGCACCUCCUGCUCACGGUGAGCACCCUCUUGCCGCUACUCUCUGUCCGUAUGGGUAGUCGUAGGCGAGUCCUCGGGGCACUAGGAAGCUGUAGCAGUAGUUGUCGGGGUAGGUUGCGCCGUCGUCGUGCUUAGUCGCGACCGGCCGUAGGCGCCGCCGCCCGCCGCCGUGGAGGAAGUAGCUCCGGCCGUCUCCCGGGAAGCUGUCACUGCGCACGGGUGCGCUAGGGCAUGGGGAUGCUUCCCCGGCCUAACCCCGUCACUGGUGGGGCGCCGGCCGGCGAGCCGCACCGUCCCCUGUUGCGCCUGGUUUUGGCGGGAGGAGGAAGAAGACGGCGGUGCCAUGGGCCCGCGCGUUAGUGGGAAAAAGGAGAAGAGGAAGAGG
This 21142-nucleotide long non-coding RNA is filed under the name Setaria italica (foxtail millet). RNAcentral describes it as "long non-coding RNA (SITA_LNC001100)". The record is from RNAcentral. Lineage: Eukaryota; Viridiplantae; Streptophyta; Magnoliopsida; Poales; Poaceae.